UACGAGGGGGGCAAAUGUUGUUCGGAAUCACUGGGCGUAAAGGGAGCGUAGGCGGGUUCUUAAGUUAGGUGUUUAAUCCCGGGGCCCAACCCCGGACCGGCACUUAAAACUGGGAAUCUUGAAUAGUGGAGAGGUCAGUGGAAUUGGGGGUGUAGCGGUGGAAUGCGUAGAGAUCCCCAAGAACACCAGUUGCGAAGGCGACUGACUGGACACAUAUUGACGCUGAGGCUCGAAAGCAUGGGGAGCAAACAGG
Molecule: ribosomal RNA, 253 nt
Filed under: uncultured bacterium
Lineage: Bacteria
Description: partial 16S ribosomal RNA
Rfam family: Bacterial small subunit ribosomal RNA
Source: RNAcentral